This 345-nucleotide unclassified non-coding RNA is filed under the name soil metagenome. RNAcentral describes it as "partial contains 5.8S ribosomal RNA, internal transcribed spacer 2, and large subunit ribosomal RNA". The stretch from base 1 to 119 matches the Rfam family "5.8S ribosomal RNA", at positions 35 to 154 of the family's 154-position model. The record is from RNAcentral.
GAUGAAGAACGCAGCGAAAUGUGAUACGUAAUGUGAAUUGCAAAUUCAGUGAAUCAUCGAGUCUUUGAACGCACAUUGCGCCCCCUGGUAUUCCGGGGGGCAUGCCUGUCCGAGCGUCAUUGCUGCCCUCAAGCACGGCUUGUGUGUUGGGCCCCGUCCUCCGAUCCCGGGGGACGGGCCCGAAAGGCAGCGGCGGCACCGCGUCCGGUCCUCGAGCGUAUGGGGCUUUGUCACCCGCUCUGUAGGCCCGGCCGGCGCUUGCCGAUCAACCCAAAUUUUUAUCCAGGUUGACCUCGGAUCAGGAAGGGAUACCCGCUGAACUUAAGCAUAUCAAUAAGCGGAGGA